GGAGGGGUACCCGAGUGGUCAAAGGGAGCAGACUGUAAAUCUGCCGGCGCAGCCUUCGAAGGUUCGAAUCCUUCUCCCUCCA
Molecule: transfer RNA, 82 nt
Filed under: Syntrophaceticus schinkii
Lineage: Bacteria; Bacillati; Bacillota; Clostridia; Thermoanaerobacterales; Thermoanaerobacterales Family III. Incertae Sedis
Rfam family: tRNA
About the family: Transfer RNA (tRNA) molecules are approximately 80 nucleotides in length. Their secondary structure includes four short double-helical elements and three loops (D, anti-codon, and T loops).
Source: Rfam by way of RNAcentral